UGGGGGGCUCCAGCAGUCGAGCGGAACGAGUUAACUGACCCUUCGGGUGACGUUAACGGCGUCGAGCGGCGGACGGGUGAGUAAUGCCUGGGAAUAUGCCUUGAUGUGGGGGAUAACCAUUGGAAACGAUGGCUAAUACCGCAUAAUGCCUUCGGGCCAAAGAGGGGGACCUUCGGGCCUCUCGCGUCAAGAUUAGCCCAGGUGGGAUUAGCUAGUUGGUGAGGUAAUGGCUCACCAAGGCGACGAUCCCUAGCUGGUCUGAGAGGAUGAUCAGCCACACUGGAACUGAGACACGGUCCAGACUCCUACGGGAGGCAGCAGUGGGGAAUAUUGCACAAUGGGCGCAAGCCUGAUGCAGCCAUGCCGCGUGUGUGAAGAAGGCCUUCGGGUUGUAAAGCACUUUCAGUCGUGAGGAAGGUGGUGUAGUUAAUAGCUGCAUCAUUUGACGUUAGCGACAGAAGAAGCACCGGCUAACUCCGUGCCAGCAGCCGCGGUAAUACGGAGGGUGCGAGCGUUAAUCGGAAUUACUGGGCGUAAAGCGCAUGCAGGUGGUUCGUUAAGUCAGAUGUGAAAGCCCGGGGCUCAACCUCGGAACUGCAUUUGAAACUGGCGGACUAGAGUACUGUAGAGGGGGGUAGAAUUUCAGGUGUAGCGGUGAAAUGCGUAGAGAUCUGAAGGAAUACCAGUGGCGAAGGCGGCCCCCUGGACAGAUACUGACACUCAGAUGCGAAAGCGUGGGGAGCAAACAGGAUUAGAUACCCUGGUAGUCCACGCCGUAAACGAUGUCUACUUGGAGGUUGUGGCCUUGAGCCGUGGCUUUCGGAGCUAACGCGUUAAGUAGACCGCCUGGGGAGUACGGUCGCAGAUUAAAACUCAAAUGAAUUGACGGGGCCCGCACAGCGGUGAGCAUG
Molecule: ribosomal RNA, 911 nt
Filed under: Vibrio sp. HQM16
Lineage: Bacteria; Pseudomonadati; Pseudomonadota; Gammaproteobacteria; Vibrionales; Vibrionaceae
Description: bacterial SSU rRNA
Rfam family: Bacterial small subunit ribosomal RNA
Source: RNAcentral